RNAcentral lists this ribosomal RNA (254 nucleotides) under uncultured bacterium. RNAcentral describes it as "partial 16S ribosomal RNA". It matches the Rfam family "Bacterial small subunit ribosomal RNA", at positions 524 to 776 of the family's 1533-position model. The record is from RNAcentral.
UACGGGGGGAGCAAGCGUUGUUCGGAUUUACUGGGCGUAAAGGGCGCGUAGGCGGCCACCGCAAGUCGACUGUGAAAUCUCCGGGCUUAACCCGGAAAGGUCAGCCGAUACUGCGGGGCUAGAGUGCAGAAGGGGCAACUGGAAUUCUCGGUGUAGCGGUGAAAUGCGUAGAUAUCAGGAGGAAUACCGAUGGCGAAGGUAGGUCUCUGGGCUGACACUGACGCUCAUGCACGAAAGCGUGGGGAGCAAACAGG